CGAUUAUAAACAACUGCUGAAAGAUUGUGGGUACAAGCCAGCUGCCAUGUUGUGAGCACAUACCACAUAGCUCCAUGGAGAUGCCCAUGUGACUGUGAUGAAGAGCUAAGACUUCCUGUCAGUGGCCAUGUGAGUGACCCAUGUUAGAAACAGAUCCGCCAGCCCAAACAGAACCUUCAGACAACUGCAGCCCCAGCUGGCAUCUUGACUGCAACUCAUGAGAGAUUCUAAGCCCACCGAAG
This 242-nucleotide long non-coding RNA is filed under the name Pan troglodytes (chimpanzee). RNAcentral describes it as "long non-coding RNA NONPTRT017751". Lineage: Eukaryota; Metazoa; Chordata; Mammalia; Primates; Hominidae. The record is from RNAcentral.